UGAUGGCGAGUGGCGAACGGGUGAGUAACAUAUCGGAACGUAUCCAAUAAUGGGGGAUAACUAAUCGAAAGGUUGGCUAAUACCGCAUACGCCCUACGGGGGAAAGCAGGGGAUCUUCGGACCUUGCACUAUUGGAUGAGCCUAUGUCUGAUUAGCUAGUUGGUAGGGUAAUGGCCUACCAAGGCAACGAUCAAUAGCUGUUCUUAGAGGAAGACCAGCCACAUUGGGACUGAGACACGGCCCAAACUCC
This 250-nucleotide ribosomal RNA is filed under the name uncultured bacterium. Its description in RNAcentral is "partial 16S ribosomal RNA". It matches the Rfam family "Bacterial small subunit ribosomal RNA", at positions 86 to 339 of the family's 1533-position model. The record is from RNAcentral.